Salvator merianae (Argentine black and white tegu) is the source of this 1095-nucleotide long non-coding RNA. The record is from Ensembl. NCBI's taxonomy places the organism in Eukaryota, Metazoa, Chordata, Lepidosauria, Squamata, Teiidae.
NCCUUCUCACACAGGAGGCCUAAGCCAGCUCCAUGGUUUUCUAAGGACCUAAGAGCCAUGAAGCGUGAGAGAAGGAGACUUGAGCGACAGUGGAGGAAAACACUAAACAAUUCUGAUAGGAAACGAGCAAAACAAUAUCUUAAGGCCUAUACGAGAGCUAUACAAGCUGCAAAGAAGUUAUAUCUGGCUGCCAGUAUUGCCUCUGCUCACAACCACCCGGCAGAGUUGUUUCGAGUAGUCAGAGAUCUGUUAAAACCAUCCCCAAUAGAAUAUGAGAACCACAUACCAGAUCGCUGUGAAGAAUUUGCAUGCCAUUUUUCGGGAAAGAUCACCCAGAUUCGUUCUGAGCUGGACUCUAAUAGUGUGGUAGGUACAGCAGAGAUAAUGCCAGCCCCUGCAGGUCCAGCAUUAAUGAAUACAUUUCAAUUAGUGCAGCCCGAGGUUGUGGACAAGAUCCUUGGGGAAGUGAGACCCACCACUUGUGUACUAGACCCCUGUCCAUCCUGGCUAAUCAAACAGGCCAGAAAAGGCUUGACUGAGUGGAUCGGGGAAGUGAUUAAUGCCUCCUUGCAACAAGGUACAGUCCCUGUAGGUCUGAAGNAGGCGGUGGUUAGANCACUGUUGAAGAAGCCAUCCCUAGAUCCUACUAUAUUAAACAACUAUAGACCAGUCUCCAACUUGCCGUUCCUGGGAAAGGUACUGGAACGUGUGGUGGCCUCCCAACUCCAGGGUCUUUUAGAUGAGACAGACUUUCUUGAUCCGUGCCAAUCUGGUUUUAGACCAGGCUAUGGGACAGAGACAGCCCUGGUCGCUCUGGUAGAUGACCUANGCCUGGAAUUAGACAAAGGGAAUGUAUCAUUGCUGAUUCUGCUAGAUCUUUCGGCNGCCUUUGACACCAUUGANCAUGGUGUCCUCCUUGGCNGUUUAGUUGGGUUGGGGGUUGGAGGGAUUGUGUUACAAUGGUUCCGCUCCUUUUUGGAGGGGCGGUUUCAAAAAGUUCUGCUGGGGGAUUCUUGUUCGAAUCUGUGGCCAUUGAACUGCGGGGUACCUCAGGGUUCAGUCCUGUCCCCUAUGUUAUUCAGUAUUUACAUGAAA